RNAcentral lists this ribosomal RNA (432 nucleotides) under uncultured Rhizobiaceae bacterium. RNAcentral's name for it is "bacterial SSU rRNA". It matches the Rfam family "Bacterial small subunit ribosomal RNA", at positions 29 to 508 of the family's 1533-position model. Lineage: Bacteria; Pseudomonadati; Pseudomonadota; Alphaproteobacteria; Hyphomicrobiales; Rhizobiaceae. The record is from RNAcentral.
AACGAACGCUGGCGGCAGGCUUAACACAUGCAAGUCGAACGCCCCGCAAGGGGAGUGGCAGACGGGUGAGUAACGCGUGGGAACAUACCCUUUCCUGCGGAAUAGCUCCGGGAAACUGGAAUUAAUACCGCAUACGCCCUACGGGGGAAAGAUUUAUCGGGGAAGGAUUGGCCCGCGUUGGAUUAGCUAGUUGGUGGGGUAAAGGCCUACCAAGGCGACGAUCCAUAGCUGGUCUGAGAGGAUGAUCAGCCACAUUGGGACUGAGACACGGCCCAAACUCCUACGGGAGGCAGCAGUGGGGAAUAUUGGACAAUGGGCGCAANCCUGAUCCAGCCAUGCCGCGUGAGUGAUGAAGGCCUUAGGGUUGUAAAGCUCUUUCACCGAUGAAGAUAAUGNCNNUAGUCGGAGAAGAAGCCCCGGCUAACUUCGUGC